RNAcentral lists this long non-coding RNA (862 nucleotides) under Homo sapiens (human). RNAcentral's name for it is "long intergenic non-protein coding RNA 2702". Lineage: Eukaryota; Metazoa; Chordata; Mammalia; Primates; Hominidae. The record is from RNAcentral.
AUCCGAUGCAGGGCCAGGCACUGAAUGCAGAUGCAUAUACUGGAGCUCAGAGGAUUUCAGUGAGUUACCCCGGCCACAGCCAGUGAGCAGCGAUGUCAAGAUGUCUUGAAUCCUGGGCCUCAGCUGCAAAGCCGUAACCAGUCCUCUGUGUUCCCAUGGGCCAGUGCUUUACAAAGGUCCUUGCAGGUUAGGAGGAAGGGGAAAUCUAAACACAGGCCUGCCCAGCACCUGCGGAGCGAAUCCCAGUCCUGAGCACCAGGCAUAGGAAGGAAGUGUCUUCAGAAGAGAAAGGAGAAGGAGUGGGCGAAUUUGCCAGUCCAGAUUAGGCUAGAAAGAGUUUACAUUCCAUAUUCAACAUGUAUUUACCUGUGAGCUGCCAGUCCUGUGCCAGGGCUUGCGGGCUCAGAGAUACAAGAACACACGGAUGAGAGGCUUUCAUUUCCGUGGGAGCUGUCUAAAGCCAGGGGAGCUUUGGCAGAGGUCUGCUUGGGCCCUCCAGGAAGAGAAGGUUCAUCCCUAGAAGAUUGUGGUAUUUCUGGCCAUACGCAGGAAAGGUGCCACAGAUGCUCAAGUAUAGGCAUCAGCUACCACCCCAUCUGCUGGUGGUGCUCAUACUUCUCCGGGAUACCUCCCCUCCAGUCUCCUCCACCCCUACAGGGUCAGCACUGCUCUUAAGCCUUGAAGUGUCACAUCUGCAUGGCAGCUGCCAGCAAAAGGGAGAAAAAUCUCUGUAUCCCUUCAGGUGACACUAGUUGCUGUAUGGAUAAACACCUAAAUCUCACUUGGCUGAACACAAUAAAAGUUUAUCUGGUGCUCACAGCACUGCCCAGUGGGGAGUCAGCUCCACACAGUCAUUCGUAAA